AGGACGAACGCUGGCGGCGUGCUUAACACAUGCAAGUCGAACGGAAAGGCCCUCUUUUGGGGGUGCUCGAGUGGCGAACGGGUGAGUAACACGUGGGUGAUCUGCCCUGCACUUCGGGAUAAGCUUGGGAAACUGGGUCUAAUACCGGAUAGGACUACAGGGCGCAUGUUUUGUGGUGGAAAGCUUUUGCGGUGUGGGAUGGGCCCGCGGCCUAUCAGCUUGUUGGUGGGGUGAUGGCCUACCAAGGCGACGACGGGUAGCCGG
RNAcentral lists this ribosomal RNA (264 nucleotides) under uncultured bacterium. Its description in RNAcentral is "partial small subunit ribosomal RNA". It matches the Rfam family "Bacterial small subunit ribosomal RNA", at positions 26 to 290 of the family's 1533-position model. The record is from RNAcentral.